AUAAUAAAAAUACAAAACCACUUGAAUUAAACAGAUAAUACGAAUUCAAGUGGGAUGCAAAAUGAACAACAAUUAAAAUUUGAAUUGCUAAUUUAUGAAUAAAAAUGCUAAAACAAUAAAGACGAUAGUAGGUUCACUAGGAGACUAAGCUCUGAUACUAGCUGACGAGGGAUAAUCUGGGGAAGAUCUUUUUGAUUCCCGGAACCUCAACCAACGCAUGCCGCUAGAAGAUUUAACCCCAAAAUCUACCUCUCUACUUGAAUCUACACCCACCUAUAUGGCAUGCAAAAACAAGAUAAUAGAGAAAAAUAAAAAGAAAAAGAAAAGGCACCACAACUUACUCGAUAAAUCAAUCUCGACACUUCUUUGU
This 370-nucleotide long non-coding RNA is filed under the name Carica papaya (papaya). RNAcentral describes it as "long non-coding RNA (CPAP_LNC011480)". Lineage: Eukaryota; Viridiplantae; Streptophyta; Magnoliopsida; Brassicales; Caricaceae. The record is from RNAcentral.